Molecule: unclassified non-coding RNA, 345 nt
Filed under: soil metagenome
Description: partial contains 5.8S ribosomal RNA, internal transcribed spacer 2, and large subunit ribosomal RNA
Rfam family: 5.8S ribosomal RNA (bases 1-121)
Source: RNAcentral
GAUGAAGAACGUAGCGAAAUGCGAUAAGUAAUACGAAUUGCAGAAUUUCCGUGAGUCAUCGAAUCUUUGAACGCACAUUGCGCCCACUGGUAUUCCGGUGGGCAUGCCUGUUCGAGCGUCAUUAUCCUCCCUCAAACCCCGGGUCUGGUGUUGGACCCAAGUUGUGUGAACAACUGGUCUCAAAGACAAUGACGGCGUCCGUGGGACCCUCGGUGCAACGAGCUUUUAGGAGCACGCAUCGAGUUGCAAGGACCUUCCGGGCCGGUCUCCUUUACCAUUUUACAAGGUUGACCUCGGAUCAGGUAGGAAUACCCGCUGAACUUAAGCAUAUCAAUAAGCGGAGGA